RNAcentral lists this ribosomal RNA (365 nucleotides) under uncultured organism. Its description in RNAcentral is "bacterial LSU rRNA". It matches the Rfam family "Bacterial large subunit ribosomal RNA", at positions 2099 to 2465 of the family's 2925-position model. The record is from RNAcentral.
CUUUACUGCAACUUGACGUUGGAACUUGGCUGUAUUUGUGUAGGAUAGGUGGGAGACUUUGAAGCAGGGCCGCCAGGUCUUGCGGAGUCGUCGUUGAAAUACCACCCUGGUGCUGACGAGUUUCUAACCGUGUCCGUAAGCCGGACAUAGACAGCGUCUGGUGGGCAGUUUGACUGGGGCGGUCGCCUCCUAAAAGGUAACGGAGGCAUUCAAAGGUCCCCUCAGCGUGGUCGGUAAUCACGCGCAGAGUGCAAACGCAUAAGGGGGCUUAACUGCGAGACCGACAGGUCGAGCAGGUACGAAAGUAGGAGUUAGUGAUCCCGCGGUUUAGCGUGGAAUUGCCGUUGCUCAAUGGAUAAAAGGUA